AUGUGGCGUACAGCCAUACAGGACGCAUCAUCCCGGCGAUAUGGUUUCGCUAUGACCUGAGUCCAAUCACAGUGAGAUACACCGAGAGGAGACAGCCCUUCUACCGCUUCAUCACUACUAUUUGCGCUAUCAUCGGCGGGACGUUCACAGUGGCCGGCAUCAUUGACUCCUGCAUAUUCACGGCCUCUGAAGCCUGGAAGAAAAUCCAGAUUGGGAAAAUGUCAUGAGUACUCAUAUCUACAUACCAUGUCUUUUAUUUAUGCCAGCCAAACCUCUGCACACCCGUCAUUACAACCUGACCUACACUAGCCACAACUGGAAAACAUUGUCACGCCUUUUCACGCGGUUUUCAUCUCUAAACAUUUAAUACAAUGAGUUACAGGGAUUUCAUUUGGAGGAUGUAGGUGGUUUCCUUACUUCACUGCCAUA
Sinocyclocheilus grahami is the source of this 429-nucleotide long non-coding RNA. RefSeq lists it as uncharacterized. Lineage: Eukaryota; Metazoa; Chordata; Actinopteri; Cypriniformes; Cyprinidae. The transcript has 2 exons. The record is from RefSeq and is a predicted model, not a curated record.